This 85-nucleotide transfer RNA is filed under the name Felis catus (domestic cat). It matches the Rfam family "tRNA". From Rfam's summary of the family: Transfer RNA (tRNA) molecules are approximately 80 nucleotides in length. Their secondary structure includes four short double-helical elements and three loops (D, anti-codon, and T loops). The record is from Rfam by way of RNAcentral. Lineage: Eukaryota; Metazoa; Chordata; Mammalia; Carnivora; Felidae.
GCCUGGGUGGCUCAGUCGGUUGAGCGUCCGACUUCAGCUCAGGUCAUGAUCUCAAGGUCUGUGAGUUCGAGCCCCACAUCAGGCU